UUCGUAGCUUGAACAAUAAGUCUCUUGGGAAAUCUGCAGGCUUAACCUGCAGGCGUUUAAGAGAAACUGUAGUUCUAGGGACCGGAAGAGGUGAGAGGUACUCCGGGGGUAGGAGUGAAAUCCUGUAAUCCCUGGGGGACCACCGAUGGCGAAGGCAUCUCACCAGGACGGCUUCGACAGUGAGGAACGAAAGCUGGGGGAGCGAACAGGAUUAGAUACCCUGGUAGUCC
RNAcentral lists this ribosomal RNA (230 nucleotides) under uncultured bacterium. RNAcentral describes it as "partial 16S ribosomal RNA". It matches the Rfam family "Archaeal small subunit ribosomal RNA", at positions 518 to 747 of the family's 1478-position model. The record is from RNAcentral.